GGGUGAGUAACGCGUAAGGAACUUGCCUCUUGGUCUGGGACAACUGUUGGAAACGACAGCUAAUACCGGAUAUUAUGAGAUUCUCGCAUGGGAAACUUAUGAAAGCUAUAUGCGCCAAGAGAGAGCCUUGCGUUCCAUUAGCUAGUUGGUGGGGUAACGGCCCACCAAGGCGACGAUGGAUAGCCGGCCUGAGAGGGUGAACGGCCACAAGGGGACUGAGACACGGCCCUUACUCCUACGGGAGGCAGCAGUGGGGAAUAUUGGACAAUGGGCCACAAGCCUGAUCCAGCAAUUCUGUGUGCACGAUGAAGGUCUUCGGAUUGUAAAGUGCUUUCAGUUGGGAAGAAGAAAGUGACGGUACCAACAGAAGAAGCGACGGCUAAAUACGUGCCAGCAGCCGCGGUAAUACGUAUGUCGCAAGCGUUAUCCGGAUUUAUUGGGCGUAAAGCGCGUCUAGGCGGAAAAAUAAGUCUGAUGUUAAAAUGCGGGGCUCAACUCCGUAUUGCGUUGGAAACUGUUUUUCUAGAGUACUGGAGAGGUGGGCGGAACUACAAGUGUAGAGGUGAAAUUCGUAGAUAUUUGUAGGAAUGCCGAUGGAGAAAUCAGCUCACUGGACAGAUACUGACGCUAAAGCGCGAAAGCGUGGGGAGCAAACAGGAUUAGAUACCCUG
RNAcentral lists this ribosomal RNA (671 nucleotides) under uncultured bacterium. Its description in RNAcentral is "bacterial SSU rRNA". It matches the Rfam family "Bacterial small subunit ribosomal RNA", at positions 104 to 789 of the family's 1533-position model. The record is from RNAcentral.